Molecule: long non-coding RNA, 909 nt
Organism: Lolium rigidum
Lineage: Eukaryota; Viridiplantae; Streptophyta; Magnoliopsida; Poales; Poaceae
Exons: 5
Source: RefSeq, a predicted model, not a curated record
ACUGCUGCUGCCAUCCGUAACCUAGCCUAGCACAGCAGAUGGCUGAGGGAGGAGCAGGAGGUGAAGCGGGAUGAGGCAGGCGCAUCCGCUAGCGCUGCGGGGAGGGCUCUGGUUGCUGCUGCAGAUCGACUACAAGCUGCUUUACCCCAUCUGUUCCUGCCAGUCUACCAGGCCCCCAAUUGCAAGUGGCGGGAAGGUGCUCUGGUUGCUGCCGCGGAUCCACUACAGGGUCUACACAGUCGUUUCUUCCUGCAAGUCUCUGAGGCCCCUCUAUUGCCAGCAGCCAGAGUAUGCAUGUGCUCAAUUAGAUGAAGAAAUCUAUAGUUGUUGCUGCCAUCCGUGAUACCUUGCCUAGCACGGUGGAUGGCUGAGGGAUGAGGGACGAGGAAGAGCUAAAGCGGGAGGAGGCAGGUGCAUUCGGAAGCGCUGCGGGGAGGGCUCCGGUUGCUGCUGCAGAUCAACUAGAAGCUACUAUAUGUCAUCGGUUCCUGCCAGCCUACGAGGCCCUCAAUUUCAAGGUGAAUGGAACUUUCCAAGCCCAAGAGCAUGCUGGUAGUACUCUGUUCACAAUUUCUUCCCAUGUUAAAGAGCAUGGUUCAUUGAGAUGGGCUUGUUGCAUGGUGCUGCUCUGUACUUCAUGGCUACUAGAGAGGUGAAUGGAACUUUCCAAGCCCAAGAGCAUGCUGGUAGUACUCUGUUCACAAUUUCUUCCCAUGUUAAAGAGCAUGGUUCAUUGAGAUGGGCUUGUUGCAUGGUGCUGCUCUGUACUUCAUUGCUACUAGAGAGGUAAUCAUGCCGUCUUUAGGAGGGUAGUAUGUCUCGCUUACAUGUCUUUGUUGCAUUGAAGCUGGAGUGACCAAUUUUGUUUGAGAACAAAUAAUCUGAUGGAAUCUUAAAUGAUCAUUGUAU